CAGCAGCCGCGGUAAUACAGAGGGUGCGAGCGUUAAUCGGAUUUUCUGGGCGUAAAGCGUGCGUAGGCGGCUUCUUAAGUCGGAUGUGAAAUCCCUGAGCUUAACUUAGGAAUUGCAUUCGAUACUGGGAAGCUAGAGUAUGGGAGAGGAUGGUAGAAUUCCAGGUGUAGCGGUGAAAUGCGUAGAGAUCUGGAGGAAUACCGAUGGCGAAGGCAGCCAUCUGGCCUAAUACUGACGCUGAGGUACGAAAGCAUGGGGAGCAAACAGGAUUAGAUACCCCUGUAGUCCCUGUCUCUUAUAC
This 301-nucleotide ribosomal RNA is filed under the name uncultured bacterium. Its description in RNAcentral is "partial 16S ribosomal RNA". It matches the Rfam family "Bacterial small subunit ribosomal RNA", at positions 509 to 807 of the family's 1533-position model. The record is from RNAcentral.